This is a long non-coding RNA of Salvia splendens (bonfire salvia), 544 nucleotides long. RefSeq lists it as uncharacterized. The transcript has 3 exons. Lineage: Eukaryota; Viridiplantae; Streptophyta; Magnoliopsida; Lamiales; Lamiaceae. The record is from RefSeq and is a predicted model, not a curated record.
CUUAUUUUGCGGUCAAGACAGUUGCUCGACGACAACAGGAUCCAAAUCGAAUAGAGAUUUGGUUGGUCUAUGCUCAAGUAUAAGAAUCUUUUUCUGAGGCUGGGGUUGAUUGACGAUUCAAGCUUCCAUAAAAAAGAGCUCACCAUUCCCUCUAGAUUGACAUAGGCACUUCAUCUUAGGAAGUAAAAGGUUCCAUUCUCAACAAAGGUUUUGGAGUGAGGGAGGUUUCAUCACUGGCUCAGGAACAGAUGGAGAUGAAUACAGUGGUUGCAGAAAAUGCAGACCACAUACAUCCUACACAUGAUACAGCUGUGGAGGCUCUUUCCUCUCUCAUUACUACCAAAAGGCGAUGGGAUGUGCGAACAAUCAGUAAUAAAUAGAGAGGAUGGAAAUGUAUGUAAAGGUAACACUUUGUACAUUUUUUAUUCGUUUUUCAAAUUUGGUUUCAAAUUGUCCAUUAGCCUUCAACUCUUUUUGAUGUAUUGAAAUUGAGUGAAGGAUGAUAUGUCAUCUUUCUUGUAAUAUUUGGAUCUAAAAAUUAGUA